AUACGGAGGGUGCAAGCGUUGUUCGGAUUUAUUGGGCGUAAAGCGAGUGUAGGCGGUUUGACAAGUCGAAUGUGAAAUCCCGAGGCCCAACCUCGGAACUGCAUCCGAAACUGUCAGGCUAGAGUCCCGGAGAGGGUGGCGGAAUUCCCGGUGUAGGGGUGAAAUCCGUAGAUAUCGGGAGGAACACCAGUGGCGAAGGCGGCCACCUGGACGGUGACUGACGCUGAGACUCGAAAGUGUGGGUAGCAAACAGGAUUAGAAACCCCUGUAGUCC
Molecule: ribosomal RNA, 274 nt
Filed under: uncultured bacterium
Lineage: Bacteria
Description: partial 16S ribosomal RNA
Rfam family: Bacterial small subunit ribosomal RNA
Source: RNAcentral